This 84-nucleotide transfer RNA is filed under the name Candidatus Omnitrophota bacterium. Its description in RNAcentral is "Candidatus Omnitrophica bacterium (groundwater metagenome) tRNA-Leu". It matches the Rfam family "tRNA". Rfam says of the family: Transfer RNA (tRNA) molecules are approximately 80 nucleotides in length. Their secondary structure includes four short double-helical elements and three loops (D, anti-codon, and T loops). Further hydrogen bonds mediate the characteristic L-shaped molecular structure. tRNAs have two regions of fundamental functional importance: the anti-codon, which is responsible for specific mRNA codon recognition, and the 3' end, to which the tRNAs corresponding amino acid is attached (by aminoacyl-tRNA synthetases). tRNAs cope with the degeneracy of the genetic code in two manners: having more than one tRNA (with a specific anti-codon) for a particular amino acid; and 'wobble' base-pairing, i.e. permitting non-standard base-pairing at the 3rd anti-codon position. The record is from RNAcentral. Lineage: Bacteria; Pseudomonadati; Candidatus Omnitrophota.
GCCGGGGUGGUGGAACUGGUAUACACGCGGGUCUCAAAAACCCGUGGUCGCAAGGCCAUGAGGGUUCGACUCCCUCCUCCGGCA